RNAcentral lists this long non-coding RNA (230 nucleotides) under Mustela putorius furo (domestic ferret). Its description in RNAcentral is "lncRNA (ENSMPUG00000031837.1)". The record is from RNAcentral. Lineage: Eukaryota; Metazoa; Chordata; Mammalia; Carnivora; Mustelidae.
CUACUGAUUUUGGAAGUUCCUGUUGACAUAUCUUCAAGUUCCCUGAUUCUUUACCCAGCGAAGACCAGUCUACUGAUUAGUCCCUCAAAGACAUUUUUUAAAAAAUUUCUAUUACAGUGUUUUUGAGGGACGCCUGGGUGGCUCAGUGGGUUAAAUUCUCUGCUUUCGGCUCAGGUCAUGAUCCCUGACAAAUAAAUAAAUUUUUUUAAAAAAUAAAGUGUUUUUGAUUU